GCCGAUGUAGCUCAGUUGGUAGAGCACGUCAUUGGUAAUGACGAGGUCGCCGGUUCAAUCCCGGCCGUCGGCUCCA
This 76-nucleotide transfer RNA is filed under the name bacterium. Its description in RNAcentral is "tRNA-Thr". It matches the Rfam family "tRNA". From Rfam's summary of the family: Transfer RNA (tRNA) molecules are approximately 80 nucleotides in length. Their secondary structure includes four short double-helical elements and three loops (D, anti-codon, and T loops). RNAcentral also lists the same sequence under 1 other name. The record is from RNAcentral.